This 44-nucleotide ribosomal RNA is filed under the name Camarosporidiella celtidis. RNAcentral describes it as "partial 18S ribosomal RNA". It matches the Rfam family "Eukaryotic small subunit ribosomal RNA", at positions 1792 to 1831 of the family's 1831-position model. Lineage: Eukaryota; Fungi; Ascomycota; Dothideomycetes; Pleosporales. The record is from RNAcentral.
UAACAAGGUUUCCGUAGGUGAACCUGCGGAAGGAUCAUUAAUUG